GAUGGACUAUGGCUCAGUAGGAGAGCAUCUGCUUUGUGUGCAGAACCUGCCAGUCUCAAUUUUCAGUGGCAUCU
This is a non-coding RNA of Podarcis lilfordi (Lilford's wall lizard), 74 nucleotides long. The record is from the annotation of a GenBank genome assembly. Lineage: Eukaryota; Metazoa; Chordata; Lepidosauria; Squamata; Lacertidae.